UCAACCAUCAAGCCUGGCUUGUCGUUGGACCCCUUUGCAACUGAAAUAUGUGGCAGGUCCGAAAGAUAAUGACGGCGUCGUGUUUGACCCAAGAUGCAACGAGCUUUUUUAUAGCACGCAUUGAAGUGGUCGGCCGACCCGGUCUUUAACCAUCAUUUUCUAA
This 163-nucleotide unclassified non-coding RNA is filed under the name uncultured fungus. RNAcentral's name for it is "sequence contains ITS2". The record is from RNAcentral. Lineage: Eukaryota; Fungi.